UCCGGUUCUUCACCAGCAGUCUCCUUAGAGUGCCCGGCUCUACCCGAUGGCAACUAAGAACAAGGGUUGCGCUCGUUGCGGGACUUAACCCAACAUCUCACGACACGAGCUGACGACAGCCAUGCAGCACCUGUUUCUAAGCUCCUUGCGGCACGCCCAUCUCUCAACAGGCUUCCUAGAAUGUCAAAGGUAGGUAAGGUUCUUCGCGUUGCAUCGAAUUAAACCACAUGCUCCACCGCUUGUGCAGGCCCCCGUCAAUUUCUUUGAGUUUCAACCUUGCGGCCGUACUCCCCAGGCGGAGAACUUAUCGCGUUUGCUUCGCUACCAAUGGGUCUUACCCCAACAACAGCUAGUUCUCAUCGUUUACAGCGUGGACUAC
This 379-nucleotide unclassified non-coding RNA is filed under the name uncultured Gammaproteobacteria bacterium. Its description in RNAcentral is "contains 16S-23S intergenic spacer region". The record is from RNAcentral. Lineage: Bacteria; Pseudomonadati; Pseudomonadota; Gammaproteobacteria.